GCCAAACAUUCUUCCAAUGGUUUUUGAGACCACAUGUUUCUCUACACCCAUGAUCUGGGGUGUCUGAGCCACUAUUUUCCUUAAUUGGACCUGUUUACCCUGGUAACUUGAAGAUAGGCAGAGCUCAGGAAAUAUGGGAUUUGGGACUGAACUCUGUAAAUGAAGAUUUUUCUGAAUGAAAUGCAGUUGAUUGCAGUUGAAUGAAGUGCAAGUGGUCUAAAGCAGAACUGAACAGGCCAACCCAAGAAUCUUCAUGGACAACUGGCUGGGAAUCCUGAGACUGGGAAAGUAAUACUUGCAUCAGUUUGGCCUUGAAUCUAGAAGGGCAAUGGUGAAAGACUUAAGGCCAGCGUUCCAGAGUGGUUGCAGCUUGAAGCUCUUCUCUGUUGGCCUGAAGCUGGAAGCUGGUCUGAGGUGCAGAGGAGCCAAAGGUCCCAGAUGCUCCAGGGGGUGACCACAAUGGUGAAAAUCACUAAGUAUUACUUAGUAAAACACUAACUUGAGAUGUGAACUAGCGAACCCCCAUCUGACAGAACCGUGAAGGCCUCCCUAGCCAGUUCACAGGGCAGAGGAUGAACAAAGUUUAUCUGCCUGAGCACCUCAUCGACUACUGCAGUUCCAGUCUUGUCUCCAUUCUGCCAUCUUGCGGCCUUUCCUGUUGCUGCAUUCAGCGUUCUAAUUGUCACAAGUGCCUUCAGAAAUAGGUACAAUAUUAUUAUCAACAAUUUGCAGAAGAGAGAAUUGAGAUGCAGACAGAUUAAGGAACUUGCUCAAGGACACACAGUCAUCUCCUGGAGGGGUAUGGAUUCGAAUCUAGGUCCAUCUGCUUAUAAAACUGGUGCUUUGUACCUAUCCUUGCUGUUUCAGUGGCACAUAGCGACUAUUUUCACAGGGACUUCGGUUCUGUUACUGCUUCAUAUUCACUUCAUUAUUGGAUUGAAAAUAAUUUCUUAAAGGGAACUAAGAAGCAUUAUCCAAAAAAUUUAACUAAAUAGAAGAGUUUAAACACACGUGUUUGUCCUCUUCUCAUUGAUGGAAAUCCGUCCUUUGGGUGCGGCGAUCAAUUUCUGUGACAGCCGAAACCAGAGCGCCAUCUGCUGGCUGAAAAGCUCGAGGAGUUGAAUGCGGGAGAAUUUGAAAACUGUAUGAUCACUAUCACUUUCCCCGACAAGAAAAUUCCCAGCAGUAACUUCAGACCAAAUGUGAGGGGAAGGUAGGAGAUAAUAGUAUUAGCCCUGAUUUUUAAAAAAAAUUAGCUUGAAAUUAAAUUCAUUUGCCAUAAAAUUAACCAUUUUAAAGUAAGCUGUUCACUGUAACUGUCAAGUACCUCUAUGGAGUUCCAAGGAUCAUUUCAUCCCUCCAACAGUAAACUCCAUUAUUUAUUAAACAAUUUUCUUGCUACCCUAUUACCUACAGCCCUGGACACUGCCAAUCUGCAAUCUAUCUCUAUAGAGUUAUCUCUUCUGGAUAUUUUAUAUAAAUGGAAUCAUGGAGAAUGUGUGAUGGUGUUUAGCUUCCUUCACUUUGCAUGAUGCUUUGUAGAUUCAUCCACAUCACAGCAUAUAUAAGAACUUCGUUUAUUUUUAUUGGUGAAUAACAUUCCAUUGUGUAUACACACACACAAUACACACACACACAACUGGUUUAUUCACUCAUGCAUCAGUGGAUAUCUGGACAAUUUCCAUCCAGAAUUGUGAAUCCUGCUCUUGUGAACAUGAGUAUACCUGUACUACUUGCCUGAAUACCUGUUUUCAAUUCCUGGAGAAAAUAUAUAGGAAUGAAAUUGCAUUAGCCCUGAUCAAAAACUGAAGAUGUGGAUGAAAAAAUCUGAAAAUGUAAAAUAAAAACAUUAUUUCAAUGGCAGGGAAAAAUAAGUAAUGGAUCUAAAGAAGGAACAUUUUUUUAAAAAUUCUUUUAUUUUUCAGAGACUUUGUCCACCAUAGUAGUUAAUAAAUAAGUGGACCUCAGACUGCUUAUCUUUACAAUAAGGAGAAUAUGACUUACUUCAUACAUUUGUACUAAAUAUUUAAUUGGAAAAUAGUGCUUUGUACAGUGAUAGCAAUUGUCAAAACCUCAACAAAUGUCAAUCUCUUGUUUCUUUAUUCUUGUAAAGGAAAUGGGUUUUGUUUACCAGAGAUUUCAGAAGAAUUGAAUGCAGUUCCACAACUAUAACAUUCUCUGAGGAAGGAAAUUGAGUUGAGUGGAGUGUUGAUCUAUGUGGUUGCUUAUAUACUGGUAAUGUAUAUUUUACCCCCUCUGGCUCUCUGCCCUGAUGAAUAUGGUGUUCAGUUUUUUCCUCUAGGAAGACAACUGACUCUAUUUUCAGUCUCGGGAGUUCCGCAUCACAAUGAAGAUGAUCUCAGAAUCACCUGUAAAAUAUUUGACAGAAACUAUUAAAAAGCCACAAAUAGUUUUUCUCUUUCCUAAAGCAUACAGAGUCCUUCUUUUGAAAAAGUAAUGUUAUGUAAAAAAAAUGCAAAAUCAUAUCCAAUGUGUUUUAGCUUUCAGUUCCUGUGAAUUCUUGCUCUGUUGAAAGAUUAGUGUGUCCAAAAGAAACCAUAUUGUUGUAACUUUGUCAUGUAGUAAGAAUCCCAAUUUGAGAAAAUUUUAGUUAUAAAUUAUGUGAGGAAAUUUUUAUCUGUGGCUGACUUGAUUUGGUGAGCACACUUGUUUCCACAAUAAAAUUAAUGUUAGGAUUUCA
Molecule: long non-coding RNA, 2701 nt
Organism: Marmota monax (woodchuck)
Lineage: Eukaryota; Metazoa; Chordata; Mammalia; Rodentia; Sciuridae
Exons: 5
Source: RefSeq, a predicted model, not a curated record